This 443-nucleotide long non-coding RNA is filed under the name Fragaria vesca (wild strawberry). Its description in RNAcentral is "long non-coding RNA (FVES_LNC001452)". Lineage: Eukaryota; Viridiplantae; Streptophyta; Magnoliopsida; Rosales; Rosaceae. The record is from RNAcentral.
AACAAUGACCAAAGGCCACAUUUCUCUUGCCACAUUAUUAACAAAUGUGAGAGCUUUUACUGUUUAAGAUAUGAACCCCACCCCAUUUGAUAUCGUAGGUGAGACAUUGUCUCACAAUUGCAUAUAAUUAUGGCUAGGUAAUAUAUUAUUGUUUUUUACGUACUAAAACCUGACAGGGCUGUCAUCUCUCGCCUCCCCCUCUUUUCUUUGCUCCAACUUUUGCUAUUUUUUAAUUUUAAAAAUUCAAAUAUUUAUGAAAUAACUCACAAUGCUCCCAGUCUCCAACACUUGUAUCUUAUUUGUAGUUCUUUUCCCAUUCUUUUCUUCAUCUCUGUCCUUCACUUUAUCUUCCGCCUCUCUCUCUCUCUCUCUGCAGAACCAAAGUUCUGACCGCCUCGGAUUUCUUGACGAUCUCCGACUUCGAGCCAACGACCGCCUUCGAC